AACGAACGCUGGCGGCAUGCCUAACACAUGCAAGUCGAACGAGACCUUCGGGUCUAGUGGCGCACGGGUGCGUAACGCGUGGGAACCUGCCCUUAGGUUCGGAAUAACUCCCCGAAAGGGGUGCUAAUACCGGAUAAUGUCUUCGGACCAAGGAUUUAUCGCCUUUGGAUGGGCCCGCGUUGGAUUAGCUAGUUGGUAGGGUAAAAGCCUACCAAGGCGACGAUCCAUAGCUGGUCUGAGAGGAUGAUCAGCCACACUGGGACUGAGACACGGCCCAGACUCCUACGGGAGGCAGCAGUGGGGAAUAUUGGACAAUGGGCGAAGGCCUGAUCCAGCAAUGCCGCGUGAGUGAUGAAGGCCUUAGGGUUGUAAAGCUCUUUUACCCGGGAUGAUAAUGACAGUACCGGGAGAAUAAGCUCCGGCUAACUCCGUG
This 433-nucleotide ribosomal RNA is filed under the name uncultured bacterium. RNAcentral describes it as "partial 16S ribosomal RNA". It matches the Rfam family "Bacterial small subunit ribosomal RNA", at positions 29 to 507 of the family's 1533-position model. The record is from RNAcentral.